Molecule: long non-coding RNA, 823 nt
Filed under: Equus caballus (horse)
Lineage: Eukaryota; Metazoa; Chordata; Mammalia; Perissodactyla; Equidae
Description: lncRNA (ENSECAG00000058686.1)
Source: RNAcentral
ACUCAGCUGACUUUAACAUAGGCAGAGCACCCAGGGUUAUCCAGGUGGAUCCAAUUUCAUUGCAAGAGUACUUAAAAGUAGAAGAAGACAGAAGAGUGAGUCAAAGAAGGAUGUGAGCACUGAAGAAAGGCACAGAGAGAUGCAACACUGCUGUUAUUGAAAAUGGAGGAAGGGAGCUGUGAGUCAAGGUGUGUGGGCAUUAUCUGGAAGCUGGAAAGGGCAGGGAAAGAGCUUAUCCCCUAGAGACUACAGAAAGGAGGGCAGCAUCUGCUGAUACCUUCAGUUUCUUUUAGCCCAGUGAGACCAGCGUUGGACUUUUUUGUAAAGAACUAUAAGGGCACCUUCUUCGGAAAAAUUAAGAACCAACUGACAUCCAUCACCAGAGGGAACUAAGACUUUGAGACCACCUGCUACUAACUUUGACACAUCAAUGCCAACCUUUUGGAAAGUGUGUAAGCCACAGGGGGUAGUGACCAGGAAAAAUGAAUUGUAUUAAGACUGAGAUGUAGCAGAGAUCUUAUGGCACCUGUUUAAGAAUUCAAAAAUGGCAAUCAAGAUAAAUAUUUUUAUAUUGCCUUUAUCAAAUAAAAGCAAAAAAUAUGUGUUCUAUUUAGAUCUCAUCUGCCUUAUGCUCUUUCAGAAAAGAAUAAUUUGCAGAGGGAGACCUUAUUUAUCCCUCACAUAUUAAUUUAAAAAUAUAUAAUAACUAUGAAUACAUUCUGCAUAACAAGCAAGAGAGGAUGCAAACAAGUUCAGAUUGUCUCACUAGAAGUCUAGAGUGGAAGAUAAAGGUUUUUAUUCUCAAGACCUAUCCCAGUGCCUG